This 2797-nucleotide small RNA is filed under the name Rattus norvegicus (Norway rat). Its description in RNAcentral is "uncharacterized LOC102556643". The record is from RNAcentral. Lineage: Eukaryota; Metazoa; Chordata; Mammalia; Rodentia; Muridae.
GUUAUCAACAGAGGAAUCUCCAAUGGUCCAGGUGAGCCUGGGAUGCAGGCACCCGUGGUCUCCACGUCCGGAUACAGCUUGUAAGAUUGAUUUCUGUGUUUCUCCAACUGACUCAAGUGGACAAAGUACCAGGAUUUUCCUGCCUUAGGCAAUCUCCGUACCGCUCAUCCUUACUGUAUCCUUCUUGUCUAACGACGGUUCCAGUCAUCCUGGAUGUGAAGAUGAAUCAGCUGGUCAUCUCCUGCUUCUGUACUCAGCAGAGGAGGACCCUGUUCGCUAUGGUGCCAACAACUGUGAGCAGCAGCCAAGGCAGGGGAGCCUGGGGGUGCGGAUCCUCUCCAGGAGAUCUAACAGAACUGCAAGUCUUCUCCACCAGCAGAUGGCGACUGAUAGACCACGCUAGAACAAGCCUUGCUUCAAGACCGAGGUCUGCGCAUGCUCCUUGAACACCAGGCUGCGGGCUGUUCCAGAUGUAUGCUAGAGUAAACAGCAUUGCAUUACUUCCCCGGUGUCCUCAUUUGGGACCUGAACCUCUGGUUUCUUGCUUCCAGGACAGAAGGGAGGAGCCAAGCUGACAGGAUUGCUGUGUUCUCUGCAAGAAUCAGUUGCCCAAGAUGCAGCUGUCACCUGAUUAUAAAUCUCCUAACACCUGGGGAGCAAGGCACAGGCCAUGGAUGAAGAUUUUCCCGGGUGGGGACACAAACAGGCUGAGCCUCUCCUGUUCUCCCUGGUCUAUCAACCUCACAGGCAGGUAACUGGCUCCACAGCACAAACAGCUUUCAGCAGGGGGAGGUAAAGAGAUAAGGGCGUCUUUCUCAAUUUCUCUGUUUCAGUUUCUCUGUGGUACACAGUUUAGGACAACUGUGCCUGCUUAGCGGCUUGGUGCGCUGGGGCAAGACCUUCUGCAGCCAGCUGGCUCUGCAUUUUAAAAGUCUCCCAGGCACUUAAAUCAGCCAAUCCUGGUUUGGCAACCACCACCCACCCUCCAAAAAUCACAAGCACGCUGGGGUUGGGGUGGGGAACAGUAUAAAUGUGUCAUUCCUAAAAACAGAAAGUAAAUGUUCCCACAGAAGAGGAAAUGGAGAGUCUGUCAGCAGCCAGGAAAAGGAAACCUAAGGCAGAUCAUGGCUGAGCAGAUGUAGAAGAGCCUAGACAAUUCAGUCACUGCAGGGUGAGGGCUGCUGGAUCACUGGGGAAGGUACUGGUCUGGCUUCUGAGUACUUGGGACAGGGCUCCCUGAGGAUGACCUCGUGCUGGUCCUGAUUGGACCUGGAUUUCCAGAGGACUGGAGUUCAUCUGCAUCCUGUCGGCCACAGUCAGGGAGUGGCUAAAAACACACAGACAAGCCCAGACACCACUGAGCUGCCUCCCUUCUAGCUGUGCUGGCCCUGGUCACCCUGACACCUUAAAACUGCCUGCAUUGAGCAAAGGGAAUUUCCCCUGCUGGCUCAGAAAUCUUGCAGAAACCUGGAGGCCCGGCUAAAGAGGACCUUGUGGCCAUUUACUGACAGAAAUCUGCCCCACCCAGAAGCAGCUGAUCUUGUUCUGAGACCAUAGCAGCGAGGAGCCUUUGAUCUCCAUCCUGGAUGAAUGUUAAUUCCAGAUAGAAGCCAUCCUUAGAUGGGAUGGGUGGUGGGUGUGUGGACGGCAGAUACAGAAAGGGGAUGACAGGAAGACCAACAGCAAUCCAGGCAGCAAAGCCUUGUAGUUGUCUGUAUGAGUCAGGACUACACAUAACGGGGCAAUCACACUCCGGGAUGCGUCCAGACCUGGAGACAUGUGGAACCCUCUGGUCAGGUUAUGGCUAUCCCUGCUCACCAAGUCUGGCAACUCAACAUCCAGCAGUGCCCUUGCACUAGUUAAGAAAAAGCAACUGAAUUUGCAAAAGGGAGCUGCAAUGUUGGCUGAAUGUAAGCAGCAGCAGAAUCAAUCCCAUCACUGCCAAGACACAGUUGCUGAUGCAGGAUUCUGAACUUCAGAGGAAACAAAGUAAUUCUCCCUGUGGAGACAUUGAACCUGAGAUCAAAGAAGCUUUGAGGAGAGAAAGAGGCUGAGAGCAGAACUGCACCAGGCCAUUCAGAAAGGGUAUCUUGAAGAGAACUCCUGGAAACUCAGAANGUUUGGUUGUAAAGCAAGGUAAGUUCAGUGGACAGUGAAGGAGCCUCGUAUGAAAUCCUCUCACAAAACUGUCUCUGAGCCCAAAAUCAAUGGUCUGCUUCCUGUCACAUAACACAAGAAAGGUCUUUCAGCAAUGUGACUAUCAUGCUUCUGUUUCAUGCUGCCCCGCCUUCUGUCUGUGGUGGUGAAGUCUAACCCCUGAGGUUCAAACUGCCUUAGAGGUUUGAAAGCCUGAGAUACAUUUCUUGUAUUUUUUAACUCCUGGUGAAGUGAAAACAAUGGACCUCCUCUUCCUGCUGCUGUGCUUGCCCUGCUGUGAUGGACUUCACUGGAACUCUCUUACCCAAAAGAAGUCUUUCUUGCAUUUUGGGGGUGUGAGGAAAGCAAAUAAACAUCGUUUGGGGUUUCGUUUGUUUGUUUUGUUUUGUUUUGUUUUUUAGAGCUUAAAAACAAAAUGACUAAAAGUGGUUGACUCUGUUUCUCCUAGGCCUGGAACCAGAAAUAACCUGAGAACUUGCUGGUGUUGCAGUCUUCCAAGAGCUGCAAGAAAUAUCCGGGUACCCAGAGGUGGUAGUGAAACUACAGCACCUCGAACACAUGCACCCUGAUUGUAAUUGAUAGCUAUAAGCAUGGAAGAUUUGUCAUUCUUUAUAAAUAUGUUGUUUCAUUCAUUCUUCCA